RNAcentral lists this ribosomal RNA (2570 nucleotides) under metagenome. Its description in RNAcentral is "bacterial LSU rRNA". It matches the Rfam family "Bacterial large subunit ribosomal RNA", at positions 14 to 2615 of the family's 2925-position model. The record is from RNAcentral.
AGGGCGUAGGAUGGAUGCCUAGGGUAACCAGAGAGUAAAGGACGUAGUUGGGUGCGAAAAGCCACGGUGAGGUCCCAACAACCGCUAGAGCCGUGGAUAUCCGACGGGGGAACCUGCUGGCUAUAAGCUGGCGACCCACGAUAAGUGGGUAACAACCCAGGGAAGUGAAACAUCUCAGUACCUGGAGGAAAAGAAAUCAAACGAGAUUCCCUGAGUAGUGGUGAGCGAAAGGGGAGGAGCCCAAACCAAGAUAACUUGUUAUCUUGGGGUAUGGACUAGCAAUAAAGAUAGAUAACAUUCUAGAAGAACUACUUGGGAAGGUAGACCAUAGAAGGUGAAAGUCCUGUAUUCGAAGGGAUGUUAUCAUCGAGCUAGAUCCUGAGUACUGCGGAGCACGUGGAAUUCCGUAGGAAGAAGGGGGGACCACCCUCCAAGGCUAAAUAUCUGGUUACACCGAUAGCGAAUAGUACCGUGAGGGAAAGGUGAAAAGAACCCCGGGAGGGGAGUGAAAUAGAAUCUGAAAUCCUAUGCCUACAAGGGAGUAGGAGCCCGAGAGGGUGACUGCGUACCUAUUGACGAAUGGGCCAACGAGUUAACCAGUAGGGCAAGGCUAAGGCAGGUAAAGCCGGAGCCGAAGGGAAACCGAGUCUGAAUAGGGCGAUAAGUCUUACUGGUUAGACCCGAAGCCGGAUGAGCUAGCCAUGGGCAGGAUGAACCCUGUGGAGACACAGGGGGAGGUCCGAACGGAUGGGAGCUGCAAGUCCUUCCGAUGACCUGUGGUUAGGAGUGAAAAGCUCAUCGAAUUCGGUGAUAGCUGGUUCUCCUCGAAACCACUUUAGGGUGGGCCUGCUGAUGAGAUCUUAAGGGGGUAGAGCUCUGGUAGGGCUAGGGGUGUCGAAAGGCAUUACCAAACCCUGCCAAACUUCGAAUACCUUGGGGAAUCCAGUGGAGUUACACCGCGGGGGAUAAGCUUCGCGGUGGAAAGGGAAACAGCCCAGACUUCUGGCUAAGGUCUCAAAGUAGUGGCUAAGUGGCAAAGGAGGUGUACCUGCGAAGACAUCUAGGAGGUUUGCUCAGAAGCAGCAAUCCUUUAAAGAGUGCGUAAUAGCUCACUGGCCGAGCAGGUAUGCGCCGAAAAUGUAAGGAGGCUUAAGUCACUCACCGAAGCCGAAGGUCUACACGGAUAGUGUAGGCGGUAGAGGAGCGUUCUAUGCACGAUGAAGUCAACUCGUAAGGGUUGAUGGAGUGUAUAGAAGUGAAAAUGUUGGCAUGAGUAACGACUGGAGGUUAGAAUCCUCCACGCCGGAAGCCUAAGGAUUCCACAGCAACGUUCGACGACUGUGGGUUAGGCGGGACCUAAGGUUAAGCCGAAAGGUGAAAUCGAUGGAAAGCUGGUUAAUAUUCCAGCCCCUAGUUGCUAGGGAAGGUGUGACGCAUUGGGUUGUGUGUAUGCUUUCUAUAUGGGAGUUUAACAAACAAGUCGUCUCCAACCAAAAGGUUGGAGGGGUAGUAUAGGAAAAUCCGUGCUACUUAAGACGAGUUUGCAAUAAGACCUACAUUAAGUAGGGAAUACAUAGAUCUGGUGCCAAGAAAAACAUCUACCAUUAAUAGUAACUAGCCCGUACCAAGAACUAACACAAGUGGGCAGGUAGAGAAUACCAAGGCGAUCGGGAUAACUAGGGAUAAGGAACUCGGCAAAUUAGCGGGCGUAACUUCGGGAUAAGCCCUGCCCAGACUAUGUUUGGGCCGCAGCGAAAGAAGUGGGGGGGACUGUUUAUCAAAAACACAGCUCUCUGCGAACUCCAAAAGAGGAGGUAUAGAGGGUGAUGCCUGUCCGGUGCCAGAAUGUUAAGCACUGGGGUGCAAGCCCUGGUGUGAAGCACUGGUGAACGACGGCCGUAACUAUGACGGUCCUAAGGUAGCGAAAUACCUUGUCAGGUAAGUUCUGACGCGCAUGAACGGCAUAACCAUCUCCACACUGUCUCAUUCCUAGACCCGGUGAAAUUACAAUCUCGGUAAAAAUGCCGAGUGGAAGCGGUUAGACGGAAAGACCCUGUGAAGCUUUACUGUAGGUUGGUAUUGGGUUGAGAUAUAUCGUGUGCAGUAUAGGUGGGAGACUGUGAAGGUACGACGCAAGUUGUGCUGGAGUCAUUAGUGAGAUACCACCCACGGUAUAUUUUGGCUCUAACCCCAAGGAAGUGGGGGACAGUGCCUGCUAGGCAGUUUACCUGGGGCGGGAGCCUCCUAAAGAGUAACGGAGGCGUACAAAGGUUGGCUUAGUACGGAUGGAAACCGUGCAGGACGUGUAUUCGCAAAAGCUAGCUUGACUGUGAGACUGACAGGUCGAACAGAGUGGAAACACGGUGAAAGUGAUCCGGAUCUUCCGAGUGGAAGGGGAUCCGCUCAACGGAUAAAAGCUACUCCGGGGAUAACAGGCUAAUGGGAUCCAAGAGUUCACAUCGACGAUCCCGUUUGGCACCUCGAUGUCGGCUCGUCGCAUCCUGGGGCUGUAGCCGGUCCCAAGGGUUGGGCUGUUCGCCCAUUAAAGCGGCACGCGAGCUGGGUUCAGA